RNAcentral lists this long non-coding RNA (1196 nucleotides) under Dromaius novaehollandiae (emu). RNAcentral's name for it is "lncRNA (ENSDNVG00000014762.1)". The record is from RNAcentral. Lineage: Eukaryota; Metazoa; Chordata; Aves; Casuariiformes; Dromaiidae.
AAAUCCAGUAAAGGAUGGAAGGAUUAUUAAGGGUGAUGGUUGUUAGGAAGGGAGAGUAGAUCUAGACUGUAGGGAUUUUCUCUGUUGCUGUAUGGAGAUUAUAGGAGACCAAAUUUAAUCUAUAGCCUUAGUAAAGUCUUUUGCUUAUAUAAAUUCCCAAUUGAAUCAUUCUUCCUUUGGAUAUAUUUUUAUUCAAAACAUUUGAUGAAGCUUUCUGGCAAAUUUUAAGCAGCAGAUGCCCUAUGAAGAGUUCUGUGUGAUCAUUCAAACUACAAAGAGAUUGAACACGGACAUCAAAAUCCAAAUGGUUAUGUAGACCACCAAAAUAUGGUGAUCUAUGAGCUAGUGAAGGUUUCGUCUGGCAGUGCCACAGCUCAUCUAAGCAAAGACUAAGCRGGAGAGAGUUGCAGAACACUGAGCCUAAACAAAUGGAGAAUCUCAUCUCUGACAGACUGGUUCAAGUUAAACCAGCUUAUUUUGCACUGGAGCAGACUAUGAGCAUUCACAAGAUAUGUCACUGUGAUUCAGAUGAAAGGAGACAUCCCCAUCUGUCCCUGGGAACCGAGACCCUAUGUGAACUAAUAGCACCACCCCGAGGUGUGUGCUUCUCUGUGAAGGCCUCGCGGGAAGAGGGGACGUUGAGUUGUCCAGGGUGAAGGUCUUCAUUCCCUAACCUGACCCCAGAGGCAGGCUCAGAUCUCAGCUCGACAUGGGCACGUAGGAGCAGCUCGGCUUUACUGCUGGGAAGCAGCCACGCCGGGAGGGAGGAGGAGCUGGCGGCGCCCAGCUGCAGUGCUCGGUCCAGAUAACACCCGUGCUGGCAAAGGGCAGACCAGCAGAGCCCGUGGAAGCUCAGUUCACAUGUGGUAUAAACCAGCACGCUAUGUACACUGGCCAGCCCAGCGAGGACAUGCAGUAUCAAGGCUGCUUUGUGUUUGCACGAGGCAGGGUUUGGGUGAAAUGCAUUACUGGGGAUCAAAAUUCAGUCUUCUCUCUGCCAAACGUAGGGCUGUUAUUUAAUACUAGCGGCUUUUCAGCUGUGUCUCCAUAUUGCAUUUAGUGUUACAUAACGCAGACAAUGCUAUUCGAUAACCACUGAAGAUGAUAGAACAAGAUAAGAGUGUGAGUGGUACUGCUAUUACAGCUAGCUUAAGUUAACUUAGUUCUGGUGAAAAUAAAUAGGAUUUAUUGGAACA